RNAcentral lists this ribosomal RNA (465 nucleotides) under uncultured bacterium. Its description in RNAcentral is "partial 16S ribosomal RNA". It matches the Rfam family "Bacterial small subunit ribosomal RNA", at positions 28 to 507 of the family's 1533-position model. The record is from RNAcentral.
GACGAACGCUGGCGGCGUGCUUAACACAUGCAAGUCGAACGGAAAGGCCCUGCUUGCAGGGUACUCGAGUGGCGAACGGGUGAGUAACACGUGGGUGAUCUGCCCUUCACUUCGGGAUAAGCCUGGGAAACUGGGUCUAAUACCGGAUAGGAGCCAUUUUUAGUGUGAUGGUUGGAAAGUUUUUUCGGUGUAGGAUGAGCUCGCGGCCUAUCAGCUUGUUGGUGGGGUAAUUGCCUACCAAGGCGGCGACGGGUAGCCGGGCUGAGAGGGUGGACGGCCACAAUGGGAAUGAGAAACGGCCCAGACUCCUACGGGAGGCAGCAGUGGGGAAUAUUGCAAAAUGGGCGCAAGCCUGAUGCAGCGAGGCCGCGUGGGGGAUGACGGCCUUCGGGUUGUAAACUCCUUUCGCUAGGGACGAAGCUUUUUGUGACGGUACCUAGAGAAGAAGCACCGGCUAACUACGUG